RNAcentral lists this ribosomal RNA (433 nucleotides) under uncultured bacterium. RNAcentral's name for it is "partial 16S ribosomal RNA". It matches the Rfam family "Bacterial small subunit ribosomal RNA", at positions 29 to 507 of the family's 1533-position model. The record is from RNAcentral.
AACGAACGCUGGCGGCAGGCCUAACACAUGCAAGUCGAGCGGACCCUUCGGGGUUAGCGGCGGACGGGUGAGUAACGCGUGGGAAUAUGCCCUUCUCUACGGAAUAGUCCUGGGAAACUGGGGGUAAUACCGUAUACGCCCUUUGGGGGAAAGAUUUAUCGGGGAAGGAUUAGCCCGCGUUGGAUUAGGUAGUUGGUGGGGUAAUGGCCUACCAAGCCGACGAUCCAUAGCUGGUUUGAGAGGAUGAUCAGCCACACUGGGACUGAGACACGGCCCAGACUCCUACGGGAGGCAGCAGUGUGGAAUCUUAGACAAUGGGGGCAACCCUGAUCUAGCCAUGCCGCGUGAGUGAUGAAGGCCUUAGGGUUGUAAAGCUCUUUCAGCUGUGAAGAUAAUGACGGUACCAGCAGAAGAAGCCCCGGCUAACUCCGUG